UGUCAUUGAGGGUAGAAUCAAUGUUGCCUUUCCCACAAAUAUGUACAAUUUGAUACUCUUCAAGGAGCUUAUGUAGAUUGUGACGAAUUGCUUCAUUUAUUUUUUGAGCUCCUAAACUUCCUCCCAUUAUGAGUAAGAUAGGUUUUUGCUCAUGAAAGCCUAAUAAACGUCUCC
This 174-nucleotide non-coding RNA is filed under the name Bacillus coahuilensis p1.1.43. Its description in RNAcentral is "Staphylococcus sRNA 414". It matches the Rfam family "Staphylococcus sRNA 414". From Rfam's summary of the family: Antisense of an annotated CDS (SAOUHSC_1422) but was considered an trans-encoded sRNA rather than a typical antisense RNA. Lineage: Bacteria; Bacillati; Bacillota; Bacilli; Caryophanales; Bacillaceae. The record is from Rfam by way of RNAcentral.